GAUGAACGCUAGCGGCAGGCCUAACACAUGCAAGUCGAACGGUAACAUUGAUGCUUGCAUCAGAUGACGAGUGGCGCACGGGUGCGUAACGCGUAUACAAUCUACCUUUUACAGGGGGAUAGCCUUUAGAAAUGAAGAAUAAUACCCCAUAAUACUAUUAAUUGGCAUCAAUGAAUAGUUAAAGUUCCGGCGGUAAAAGAUGAGUAUGCGUUCUAUUAGCUAGUAGGUAAGGUAACAGCUUACCUAGGCAACGAUAGAUAGGGGCCCUGAGAGGGGGAUCCCCCACACUGGUACUGAGACACGGACCAGACUCCUACGGGAGGCAGCAGUGAGGAAUAUUGGACAAUGGGCGCGAGCCUGAUCCAGCCAUGCCGCGUGCAGGAAGACUGCCCUAUGGGUUGUAAACUGCUUUUGUAUAGGAAGAAACCCAUCUACGCGUAGAUGGCUGACGGUACUAUAAGAAUAAGCAUCGGCUAACUCCG
RNAcentral lists this ribosomal RNA (482 nucleotides) under uncultured Flavobacteriaceae bacterium. RNAcentral's name for it is "bacterial SSU rRNA". It matches the Rfam family "Bacterial small subunit ribosomal RNA", at positions 28 to 505 of the family's 1533-position model. The record is from RNAcentral. Lineage: Bacteria; Pseudomonadati; Bacteroidota; Flavobacteriia; Flavobacteriales; Flavobacteriaceae.